RNAcentral lists this ribosomal RNA (465 nucleotides) under uncultured bacterium. RNAcentral describes it as "partial 16S ribosomal RNA". It matches the Rfam family "Bacterial small subunit ribosomal RNA", at positions 338 to 795 of the family's 1533-position model. The record is from RNAcentral.
ACUACGGGUGGCAGCAGUGGGGAAUAUUGCGCAAUGGGCGAAAGCCUGACGCAGCGACGCCGCGUGAGGGAUGAAGGUCUUCGGAUCGUAAACCUCUGUCAGCAGGGAAGAACGGUCACUGUGCUAAUCAGCAGUGACUUGACGGUACCUGCAAAGGCAGCCCCGGCGAACUCCGUGCCAGCAGCCGCGGUAAUACGUGGGGUGCGAGCGUUAAUCGGAAUUACGUGGAGUAAAGCGUGCGUAGGAGGUAUGUCAAGUCAAUGGUGAAAUCUCCGCGCUCAACGUGGGAACUGCCUUUGAAACUGGCAAACUGGAGUGUGUGAGAGGAUAGUGGAAUUCCAGGUGUAGGAGUGAAAUCCGUAGAUAUCUGGAGGAACAUCAGUGGCGAAGGCGACUAUCUGGCACAUAACUGACGCUGAGGAGCGAAAGCGUGGGUAGCAAACAGGAUUAGAUACCCUUGUAGUC